AAACAUAUAUAGCUACUCUAGUUCACUAACCAACUCACUAAACAAAAUCUGUUAUUCAACUAACCAAUAACUAUGUGACAGCUGUACAAUUAGUUACACUAAUAGUUACAUUUUUCUCAUUCAGUUGACUAGCCUUUACACUUGGUUGACUAAUUCCUACAUGUGUUCUUGUUGCUGAUUGUAAUUCAAUAUGCUGCUUCACUUCAUACUCCCCC
RNAcentral lists this long non-coding RNA (215 nucleotides) under Ricinus communis (castor bean). RNAcentral's name for it is "long non-coding RNA (RCOM_LNC002451)". The record is from RNAcentral. Lineage: Eukaryota; Viridiplantae; Streptophyta; Magnoliopsida; Malpighiales; Euphorbiaceae.